RNAcentral lists this ribosomal RNA (245 nucleotides) under uncultured bacterium. RNAcentral describes it as "partial 16S ribosomal RNA". It matches the Rfam family "Bacterial small subunit ribosomal RNA", at positions 524 to 768 of the family's 1533-position model. The record is from RNAcentral.
UACGUAGGUGGCGAGCGUUGUCCGGAAUUAUUGGGCGUAAAGGGCGCGUAGGUGGUCUUUUAAGUCAGAUGUGAAAACGUGGGGCUUAACUUCACGAUUGCAUUUGAAACUGGAAGACUUGAGGACAGGAGAGGAAAGUGGAAUUCCCAGUGUAGCGGUGAAAUGCGUAGAGAUUGGGAGGAACACCAGUGGCGAAGGCGACUUUCUGGACUGACCCUGACACUGAGGCGCGAAAGCUAGGGGAG